RNAcentral lists this ribosomal RNA (460 nucleotides) under uncultured bacterium. RNAcentral describes it as "partial 16S ribosomal RNA". It matches the Rfam family "Bacterial small subunit ribosomal RNA", at positions 338 to 795 of the family's 1533-position model. The record is from RNAcentral.
CCUACGGGAGGCUGCAGUGAGGAAUAUUGGUCAAUGGGCGCUAGCCUGAACCAGCCAAGUAGCGUGAAGGAUGAAUGCCCUAUGGGUGGUAAGCUUCUUUUAUAUGGGAAUAAUGUGCAGUAUGUAUACUUCUUUGCAUGUACCUUAAGAAUAAGCAUCGGCUAACGACGUGCCAGCCGCCGCGGUAAUACGGAGGCUCCGAGCGUUAUCCGGAUUUGUUGGGUUUAAAGGGAGCGUAGGCGGGUUGGUAAGUGAGUUGUGAAAGUUGGCGGCUCAACCGUAAAAUUGCAGUUGAUACUGGCAUCCUUGAGUACAGUAGAGGUAGGCGGAAUUCGUGGUGUAGCGGUGAAAUGCUUAGAUAUUACGAAGAACUCCGAUUGCGAAGGCAGCCUGCUGGACUGUAACUGACGCUGAGGCUCGAAAGUGUGGGUAUCAAACAGGAUUAGAUACCCUUGUAGUC